GGCUUUAUAUUCAUGUAAUGAUUAUAGAAUGCAAUUCUAUAGGAGUAAUAUUAGUUACUAAGGCUU
RNAcentral lists this transfer RNA (66 nucleotides) under Blaberus discoidalis (tropical cockroach). Its description in RNAcentral is "tRNA-Cys". The record is from RNAcentral. Lineage: Eukaryota; Metazoa; Arthropoda; Insecta; Blattodea; Blaberidae.